RNAcentral lists this ribosomal RNA (253 nucleotides) under uncultured bacterium. RNAcentral describes it as "partial 16S ribosomal RNA". It matches the Rfam family "Bacterial small subunit ribosomal RNA", at positions 524 to 776 of the family's 1533-position model. The record is from RNAcentral.
UACGGAGGGUGCAAACGUUGUUCGGAAUUAUUGGGCGUAAAGCGCGUGUAGGCGGCUUUGCAAGUCGGGUGUGAAAGCCCUCAGCUCAACUGAGGAAGUGCGCCCGAAACUGCAUGGCUUGAGUACCGGAGAGGAUGGCGGAAUUCCCCAAGUAGAGGUGAAAUUCGUAGAUAUGGGGAGGAACACCGGUGGCGAAGGCGGCCAUCUGGACGGAUACUGACGCUGAGACGCGAAAGCGUGGGGAGCAAACAGG